This is a non-coding RNA of Equus caballus (horse), 12226 nucleotides long. Lineage: Eukaryota; Metazoa; Chordata; Mammalia; Perissodactyla; Equidae. The record is from RefSeq and is a predicted model, not a curated record.
GCUGGGGUGGUGCGGCGAAAGACGUUCGACGGUUGGGUGUCGUGCUCCGUACGCUUUUGAGUGCUCGGGGCUGGGCGAUGGCUGCAGACCGCGUGUCCAGCUCCGGUUUCUGUCGCUGGGCGAAGCGGCCCGGCAGGGGUCCUGACCGGAGGACAGGGCAACGCGGACACCGGAAAGCACCCCGCCUGGGCGGCGGUCGAGACUGUGUCGCGGCACGUGGUAGGGACCGGGGAAUACCAGUGGAUGACAUACCCUGCAGUAAGGUGAGCGCCGUGACUCAAGGGACACGGGGCGUGUGAGAGGGCAAAGACGGCGGGGUGAGGCCAGGGUCAGCUGCACAGGAGAUGGCACCGGAGGUGUGGGGAUUGCCUUGGCUUGAGCGCUGACCACAGGCGGCCGUCGCUUGGGACGUGCGUGUCAUGUCCUGUGCGUGUAAAAUACACUCAGGAAUUGAAAGGUUUAGUACGAAAUAAGGAAUGAAGAUGUUAAUGCUUUUUAAUAUUGACUACAUGGAAUAUUUUGGAUAUAUUGGGUUCAAUAAAAUAUAUUGCUAAAGUUAUUUUCACACUCCUUUUAAAUUUUUUUUAACGUGGCUACCGAAAUAUGUAGAAUUACAUAUGUGGUUUGCUUUAUAACUCUGUUGUCCGUUUACCAAAGACUGACGUCAGGGACUGGCAUUUCAGACUGAAUCUCCAAUAUAACUUUGGGAGCUCCUUGACACACCUCUGCAAAUUCUCUUUGGAAACAAAAGUUUGAUUAUAUUCUUUGACCAAAGUUUUUCCAUGCCUCCUCACUUACUGGUGAUAAGUAAAUUGACUUAGUACUUGCUGUAUGCAACGUAUUGCACUAGGUACUUUGUAUGCAUCAUCUCCAUUGAAUGCCAGCCAUCCUUCAGUAAAGACUACCCCCUUCUCGCAGAGCAGAGUAAGUGGCUCUCAGCUCUCAUGACAUUGGGUUUCAGAUCCUCCCUUAUAACAGCAGGGCUUUCCACAGCUCCUUGUACCCACCCUGCAACGUCUACCCGACUGCAUUUUGAUUAUAUCUGUCUUCACACAUGGAUUGUAAGAUACUGCAGUUGGGAUCCGUGUCUUCUGCCUCCACACCUGACAAAGUAAGCUCUCUAUAAUUUGUUAAAUGGGUGACAAACAUAGCAACUCUCCAGGGAUCUGCUAUUGUCACAGGAAAUCUCCCCUGCAAUCUCAAAGGAUAUUUGGUGAUCCUUGGUGACUGGCACAACCUCAGUAGAUCUUCAGGGCUCCUUUGCUGCAUAGCCUUAUGAACUCUCCUGGAAUCCUGUCCUUACAUGACCUUAGGGAAUCUCCAGAGGUCUCUGGAUAAAGCCUUAGUGGAUCCUUAGGGACCCCUUCCUCACAUAUCCUCAGGAGGUCUCCUGGGAUCCUCUCCUAGGUCCCAGGGAUCUCUUCCGAUAUACAGCCCCAAGGCAUCCCCAGAGAUCCUCCUCAGAGAUGCGUUCCUAACAGCCUCAGGGAUUCCCUACAGCCGGCAAUGGGGAUUUUGGGGGUUCUCCCCAGCUCAGUCUGGCUUAUUGCAAGCAUCAGUGACUGAGGUGACAGCAGGACUAAGAUGAUGGAUAUAGAAAGAAUUUACAAAGGAAAAAUUGACAACAGUUAGUGCCUGGUUGGCUGUGAUUAUAACAUCAUAGGUUUGGUUGCUCCCUAUAAUGUACUAUCUACCGUCUCUUAGGGGACAGAGUGAGACUGAGACUAAGAUUGAUUUGAAGGCUUCAAGACUGGCCAAGCAAAGGAUUACUAGUACCACUGAGAGAAGCAUGAAAUCGAAGAGUGAGCCUGUUUGCAGCCUAGGUUUAUGAUUGGUUUAGGACAUACUGGGUUUGAGGUGAGACGUGUGAAGCCUCAGCCAACCACUAAGUUAGAAGACAUAUUAGUCUCUAGAUGAGGACAUGGGGUCAGACAGGGAGACAGACCAGGGCGAAGUCACAAACCGGUGGUUAGGAAUAGGUCAGUGUCAUAGGCAACUUAAUCCAAAAAGAAAGCCAAGAUGGAGACAGUCUCCAGAAAUGGAUUUUGCCCAGGGGGUUGGUAGAGAUGGGAUGUGGAAGGAGUGUCUAGUAGAAAGCCGGGCGUGAAAGCCAACAUACUGCUGACAUAGAGUCAGAAUGGGACCUGCCCAGGAAUGAAACAGGAGAGAUGCAUGAACACGAGUGGAGCCUUUUUUAUUCAUUUGUGCAACAAAUAAUUACUGAGCUGCAAACGUUGAGGUGUGCCUUCACUAAGAUUUAAGCUGAUAGAAAUUAAAACCAAGGACGUACCAUUUCACAUUUAACAGAUGAGCAAAAAAAUUUGUCAGUGCCAAAAUUGGCAAGGAUGUGGAUUUGUGAGCAGUGCAGAACUCUGAUUCACUGCUGAUGGGAGUGUAAACUGAUUCAAUAACUUUGGACUGCCAUUUAGCAGUUUCUAGUAGUUAAAGAUGCAUACACCCAACAACCCAACAAUUCCACCCUAGAGCAACUUGCCUGUGUGCAAAGACAGGAAUGUUCUUUGCAACAUUGAUCCUAGUCAGAGGAGGAAGUGAUUAAAUGUCAUCUACCAGAGAAGUGGUAAAUUACACAUAAUUAUCCAAUAGAAUGCUGUAGGGUAACGAAUAAAUUAGUUACAUAUAUCAACAUAAAUGAAUUUCACUCUGUUGAGUAAAAUAAAGUUGAAUAUGAAUACACAUGAUAUGAUACCAUGUAAUUCCUUUCUUUUAAGUAAAAGAAUGCUAAAAGCUGAAUUCAGGAGAGCAGUUUGCCUCUGGGUGUUGUAGGUGGGGACUUUGAUCAGUCAGGAAUUCACAGGGCUUCAGUUGUAUUGUUCUGCUUUAUUUAUUAAGGCAGAUGGAGUGUAUUCAUGUGUUUGUUAUAUUUUUUGUGACUCUGUAUGUGUAUAAAAUGAUUUAUAAUACAUAAAAGUAUAAUUUUGCAGCUCUUAACUCUGUUAUACAGUGAGCUACUUCAAACUCUUGUUGGAAAAGGCAAAUAGAAAUGAUGUGACAAUGAGUGAAGAGUGUUCACUGAGAGGCUUGGAGGAGUCAGGACAACUGAUAAGAUUUGUGAGUGUUGUUGAAGGCUGAGUAGGUGUGACAGGACAAAUGCAAGGAGUCUGUCCAGGUAGAAGGAACAUCAUUGCUGCAGCAAGGAGACAAGAGAAAAACCGAGUGCUGGGUGACAGGUGAGUACUUAGCAUGGCUAGAUUUGUGAUGCAGGUUGGGUUCCCUGGGAUACGGAGGGUGAGACAGAUACUUGCGUGCAGAUGGCUUAUUGGGGAAGAGAGGCUGAACUGUGAUGGGCUGCGAUGGAGCAUCAGGCUAACCCAAGGCUUGGCCCUCCCACGUCUUGAAUUGAGACAAACAGGUGGAGCCCCUAUACUGCUGCAUAGACCACGGGUGAAUGUGGGCUGACCCCUACGAGGGGCACAUAAUCUUGGGAGAGGAAGUGCCCUUCAGCCGAGGGCAGUUCCCAAGGAGGGACAGGUCUCUGAGCCAUCAGCAGCCAGCACUCCCUGCACCUGAGGGAAAUGAGAGCCUUGGUCCCCACGGGGGAAUCUGGGCAGCAUGCUGCAGCAGCUACUGCAGUCCCCCCUUUGCAUCACUCAGGUCCACUGGCUUCACAGUCCACCCAUCUGGGAAGACCAGCGCCAGGAUUCUGGUUGGUCGCUUUUCUGGGGAAGCUUACAAGAGGAAGGUUGACGUGAUCUUAGAGCCGCAGCGUUAUUCCCAUCGUAGACUCCCUCCCUCCGGUCGCACCAUUAUGCUGCUGUUCUGGGAUGGCUUCAGGAUGAGACUGUGGGCAGCAGGUGGAAAAACAGAAAAAUAGCAACGAUGGCUUUCAAGACCCUGGGUCCAGUUGUUCCUGAGCCCAGCUGUCCCCCCUCCACUGCACGGAGUCCACCACUCUCAAGGCAGUGGCCUGGGGACAGUGACAUUCUGGACAGGAGGAGAGCCUGAGAUCAAUGCUGGACAUCCUCAGAGGGGCUCCGCUGUGAGACAGGACAUGUGAGAACUGCUCUCUGAACCAGUGGCCACAGGUGGUUCGUUGGGUAUGGGGAAAAAGAGAGUCCAAUUUCCCUUUACGUCUAUCUUUUAGCUAGACAAGGGAAGAAAUUAGAUUUUGCCAAAAUUUAGUAUGUGAGUAUUGAUAGAGGUACAUGGUGUGAUUUGUAAAUAAGUAUCCACAUAUUAGGAUUCAUGUCCAAGAUUUCUUUUACUGAUAGGCAUGGAAAAUAAAGAAGACCCUGGUGUAAAGUACUCUUUAUUUCUACUCAGUAUUUUAUCUCCAGGCGUAAGUAUUGUCCCCUAUUUCUGCUAAACUGCAGAAUGCCGCCUCUGCCGUCUCGCCUGGCCUGCUGUCCGGCUCUGCUCAUGCAGGUUGUUCCAGCAAAUGGCCAUGUCCACACUUUAGACCUAGAGCUACUCACUGUCUCUGAAAAGGUACAGUCUGGCAGGCCAUUCCCAAAACCCGGUCUGCGCCCAGUCUCGCCCCAUGUGGCUGCUCAGAACAGGUUUGCUGGAUUGUAUUCACGGUUACAAAGUUUUCCUCAAUGCCCAAGGUACUAUUUGUGAAGGCUGGCGUCCUGCGUUGUGCUCCUCCAUCUCAACCUUGAGGAGGGCAGAAGCUGGAAGACGCAGAGGGGCUGAUAGAUGCUUCCUCCUGGUUCCGAGGGUGGGCUGGGGUGAACGUUACACUCCAGAAGCUUUGAUCCCAUCAGGUACACGGGGAGGAAAGGCAGCCGGAAGCCCAGGGACUGUGACUGCCAGAGCUGAGAGGAGAAGCACCCAGACAGGCACAGAACACACUCUCUUCAGUGCUCAGCACACAACAAGACUCCCAAGCGUUACUUGCUCUUUACAGCCCAGUUGCUCAGUGAACUGAACAAAAAUUAAAGCCCGGAAUCUGGUCUUUGUCUGCCCCGCUCCGUGACUAUAGCAACAAGGCCCAAGGCAGGUGGAUGCACCCUGGGGUCUGCACUGGCCACUCCUUGUCAUCCUCCCUCUUCCUGGAUGACCUGCACGUGUGACUGGUUCUGCCAAAGGAGGACAGUGGCAGCCCAACCAGGUCUCCCUGGGACAUGGCAGGGGAGCAGGGACAAGCCUUUCUGGGGGAGUUAGGCUCCUAGGAAUGUAUCUUAAGGCAGCCCCUGCCCAAGGGACCAGGCCCCAGGGCACAGCCACUGUGAGGCGACCCUGUGGCACCAUCCAAGGGACUUCCGCCAUGCCUCAGCCCCUCCAUCACUGGGUGACCCAGGGCAGGGCUGGGCAGGGUGCAGGCUGGGCCUACAGUAGAGAAGAGCAUUGGGACAGCCUCUGUGCGGGCACUCCCCUGGCCACCUGCGAGAGCGGACUCAGUCCUUCCCUGCUCUCUCCUUGCUUCCCGCGUCCUUCUCCCUGCACACGUGGUCCCCAGGUCUCCUCGCCCCCAGCCCACAUGGAUUUCCACGACUCUGGAUCCUUCCCAGAUACCAGGAGGCUCUGCCCGGAAGCUACUUCCCUCACUGCAGCAUCGGCUAGUCAUCUCUAGAUGGCGCAGGGUGAAGCAGGGCCGCCCGCAUGCCAGAAAUAAGCCUCGUCCAGACUUAAUAAACACGUAAGGUGGCUUGGAGUGGUGCCUGGUCAGUAGGAACGCAUCCAUGUUUGAAAUGAGAUGCCUGGAGAGAGUUCCAGGAGCCCUGUGGGAGCCGGGCCUCAGGAUGCCUGCACGGAAGCCCUCCAGGUCUUUCUAGGUCCAGCAGCUUGCUCUUUGCCCCUGGCAUGGAUGCAGUGGGGAGCCCACGACUAGACACCCCCAGCCCUGAACAUCAACAAGUCCUGGCCAGCAGGGGCAGAAGCCCAGGCCAGCCAAGGAGGCAGAGAGGGGGUCUCCGGCAGGGGUCCAUGAUACCAGGCACCCUUCCAAACACGGAGCUGCCAGCACCCACUGGGCUCCCAAUGCUGUCUUUGACAACUCCUCUGUGUCGCUCCUGGCUUGUAUUCAAAUUCCUCCAGCAGGCUGCGUCUGCCCACCAGCUCCUCACUCUUGUCCCCACCACUCUAGCUAUGAGGGUUUCCUGUAGGUGACAACCUCCUACCCCACCUGUAGGCCACUUUGUCAGUAGAAGCAGGCUGGGCAUUCAGAACAUGCUUGUCAAGUGAACUGGAUAGAAGUGACCAGAAGGAAAUGGAGACAUGGAGAGCUAGGGCCACCCUGUCCCCACGCGAGAGGCCUGGAACCCUUUCACCCCUUCCUGGACUUUGCCCAAGCUCUGCUGCCCAGAGGGCGACUGGCAGUGGUGGGAUUUACUAUCAGGGGACCUCUUGCUCCCAACUGGGCCACGUGGUUUAUAAAUACCAGCGGCCUGUCUGGAAGUGUCUCCACUUGGGAAGGUCCAGGGCCCAAACGUAUUAUUCCCCGUGCAGGAUAUGGAAGGAAGGGAGGGGUGAAGUGGCCUGAGCAGGUUCCAGCCCAUCUCUGGGCCUCGCCUUCCCCGUCUGUAAGAUGGGGUCAUAAUCCCAUCCUGCCUGCCUCACAGGGUUCUUCUAAAGAUCAAGGGAGCAGGAGGGGAGAAGGGGAGAGGUGGGGAGAGAGGAAAAGAGGAAGGAGGGAGGGAGACUGAAGAGGGCUUUCUCUCAUUUCAACCCUCAGUGAGCUGCUGACACCCGACGGAGGGCUACCCUCGUGGGCUCCCAGCCCAGUUCACUCCAGGUGCUGUCAGACCUGGCUGUGGCCCAGCUGUGGCCCCAUGUCCCAGCAUCCGUGGCUCUCGGGCUCCAGGCCAAGGCCAGGGGCACUGAGCACCUGUUGACCUGGCCGAGUGCGUGCCGCGCCCUCCCUGACCUGUAUUCCUCCUUUCCUCGGUCACUCCUGUCAGCCAUUGACCCCCGAAACUCCUCUCCAUGGCUGCCUGCUUUGGCCACACCCAGCGUCCCACCAACUGGCCAGGCGUCCUUCUGUGGCUUCGGGAGCUGAAAUGAGCCUGAGUCAUCACACCCACAAGCCAGCCAGGGUGCACGGACAUGGGGCUUGGGGACUGUUGGGGACUGUUGGAGACUGAAGGGUUCAGGGAAAUCGGAAAGAGGAACUGGGCUCUGUUUCCCCAGCACAGGACGAUGUCUGAGCCUCCCAUGAGCUCGCCACCCAGGGAGGCAGUGCUGGUCUCCUGGAGCCCUGCCCCCAGGGCCCUAGCACCUCACUUGCUGGAUGCCCAGAGGCACCCAGAAUUCCCUCGGCUCCUCUCCCCUCAUCUCCCAUGCAUCUCCCUGAAUCAUGGGCAUUGUAUCGCCCACUGUAAACCUGGGAACAACACCAGGUGCAGCCAGAGAGCUGGCCAGGGUCAGGUGGCCCCAACUCUGUGUGACCUGCGCAGGGCCCAGCCCCUCUCUGGGCCUCACCUUCCCCACCUGGAAAUGGGGUGAUAACCACCAUCCCGUGUACCUCACAGGGUUCUUCUAAAGAUCGAAUGAGGCAAUACACAGGAAAUUGCUUUGAUGAGAUGCCAGCCUGCACUAAUGUCAGGGGCUGUCAUUUUAAUUAGUUUGGAGGCCAGGGUUACUCUGCACUCAACUCUGCUAAUUUCUCCUCCCCCAAGAGGAACCUGGGCCUGCCUCGGGUUGGGACCCCCAGCACACAGAGAUGCUCCAUGAAUACUUGAGAAAUCAGUCUACUCUCCACUGGAGCCCCUCCCUCUUCUCAAUAGAACACACAGCACAGACCAGCGGUCCUCUCUGGCUACAACCAGGCCUGCAGCUCACCCGGAAUUCCUGCCCCAGCUAUGGGGGGACUGCCAGCCCUGACUUGGAGGCCGUUUGCCCCCGGUGCAGAGAUGGCAGCCUGCAAAGAAGCAUCCUUUAAAUGUCUUCCUACGGGUCUGAGUCCACACUGUGACUCAUGGGCGUGCUAGCAUCAGCCUGUUUCCUCACUGGGAGAGGAGGAUAACGAGGGUGAAUUCUUUUCUGCAGGAGUUUCAGCAGGAGACAAAGCAAGCUCUGUGUACCUGGAGACUGAGCCCUUCCCCCUUGCUGCUCCCAGGGAAGCCACAAAGUGCACAGAGACAACAGCAUGCAGACGGCCGGGAGCUGCAGAGAGCCACGGCCGGUGGCCGCCUGAGAUCCGUCUCUUCUGCACCUGCACUUUGCAGAUGGGCAAGCUGAGGCCUAGAAACCAGCAAUAUAUUUAAGGCCAAGCUGGAUUUAGCCCCAGCUCCCCUGACGCCCCAGGUGGUGUGUUCCCAUGCCUCCUUCACUCUCGAUAGGAAGCAGCCCCCAGAGGGAGGAAGGACAGGGGACAGAGGGAGAGGUGCAGUUUGAGAGGGCAGCCACCUCAGAAGGAGGACGGGGGUACGAAUGAAGGGCUGGCCUCUCUCAGGCUUUUCUCUUACCCUUGGUUCUUGGGCCUUGCAGGACCUGCAAGGGCAGAUCAGAAGGGCGGUCCCGGGCAAGCCCACUGCACUUCCUGACUUUCCGAGCACAGGGACGCCCGCUUGCCUGGGCCCUGACCACAGAGACCCCAGCUUCCCCUGAGUGUCAGGGGCCAUUACAGUGGAAAAGCACAGUCGAGGCCCUGGCAGCCUCCUGCAACCUCCAUAUUUACUCUCAAGGGAAGCGGGGCCCAAAAGGCAAUGGGAAUGGCCCAAGGUCACCUGGCUGGCCAGUGGAGCAGCCAGGACCAGAAGAUGUCCCUCAGCACCCAGCUGCCCAUGUGUCCAAGAGGGCAGAGUUCUGAGUGGACACAGAAGCAGAGACUGGCUCACAGCAGCAGGGACAGGGUCAAGGCUCUGUGCCAAGCCCAGUCCCCAGUGUCUACCCGUCAGCCGGCCUCUAGGGCCCAGCAGUGAUCAGGUGGCCCCCAGGCCAAGGUGCAGAGCAGGUUCAGGGCUGGACCCUCAACCCUAGAUGAGACAGAGAGUGAGGCAGGACCCCACUGUGUCUUGCUGGGCAGUGUGAGGACCACCUGUGUCCAGACCACCUAGGGAGUGCUGGUUUUCACCCCCACCCAGCCCCCAACCCGCUGAAUCAGGGUCUCUGGGGUCUGUGCCUCCCCUGCCCCACAUGUUCUCACCCUGGGCCUGUGGACAAGCAAGAGGUAAAGCUGGAUAUGUCCCCAGGGGUGGGGGCAUCCUCAUGACCCCGCCCACCAGUGGAGGAACAUUGCGGUGGAAUUUUCCAUGACCCGUGACCGUCUACAGGGAGGCAGUGGCCAAUUUCCUGGCCCCUGGCUCACAAGCAGCUGCUAAUUGGUGCUGUCUGUUCUAUUUCUGCUCCAGGCCUAAAUGAGGUCACCACCCAGUGCCGCCCUGAGGCGAGCCCAGCCUGGAGGGCCUGGCUGCCCAGCAACGUGGCUGGGGAAGGCUGCGAAACCUGGAUCAGGACAGCCUAGGGGGACUGCCUGUCUGAAAUGGACAGAUUUGCCAGGAUGAGGGACUUUAAGUGCCCAAACCAGGAAGUCCCAGGCAGGGGGGAGGAGUUGGUCACCGAGGACAGCUGGGACCAUCCUGGUGUGCCUGCCCUGUGGGGCGAGCUCCUGGCUGGGCGGGUUGUCGGCCGCUCUGAAGGCGAGAAAGGCUGGGGACCCUCGCAGUCAUGGAAGCCCACUCCUCAGAAACUCCACCGGGGCCAGCCGCUCAGCACACCCAGGCUGGGCGCUCCACUCUGGCUGCAUAGCGAGGCUGGGAUCCCUGAGCCCCCAGGCUGGGACUUGCCGAGUAUCUGUGACUGCUGCUCAGGAUGUAGGCAACAGCAGCAGGAGUACUCCACAAGUGGCUUCUGAGAGUUUCUCCCAGAGCUGCCUCGGGCUCAUCACCUCCCCAAAGCCAGCCUCAGAAAAACAUGAUCCAAACUCCCCCUGAGCGAGCACCUGCUGUUCCCCACGCAGGUGGAUACUUCGUGCUCCCUUGGACUUCACGAGCUAACACUUGUUGAGCCCUUACGACACUCAACACACCACAUGCUCUGAUCAAUGAUGUCAUCCAACCUUCACGACCCCCGCCCGGGACGUGGGUUUCAGUGUCUGAAUUACAGAGGAAGAAGCCAAAGUAAAGGAUCUGUCUAGGGCAGUGGUUCUCAGUGGGGGCGAUUUUGCCCCCCUCCCCCAGGGGACAUUUGGCAACGUCUGGAAACAUUUUUGGUUGUCCCAACCGGGGGCUGCUGCUGGCCUCCAAUGAGUACAGACCAGAGACACUACUGGACAUCCUCCAGUGCACAGCACAGCCACCACCACGAAGAACAAUAGGCCCCCAAGGUCCUUAGUGCCAAGGUUCAGAAACCUCGGUCCAAGGCUCACAGCAACUCCCAGGCGGAGCCCAGAUUUGAACCCCCUGCUCUCGGCCACUUUGCUGUACCUUCAUUACUCUGGUUUGAUAUGUGCGAAAACUGAGGCUCAGACUCGCGAGGGCAAAGUCUCAGAGCCAGCAGAGGUGGAGCUGGGCUCCGUGAAGCUGCCCCUCACUUGGGCUGCAGCCCUGCUCUCCUCCCGCAUCCUCGUUGGGUCGUCCAGGUUUCCUUCGUGGGCUCCUCUUCCGCCGCCCUGCCCUUAAAUGCUCAUGGGUGACCCUAUAACUCUUCACCCAGCAGAGGUGCUUCUGAGAGUGGUAGGGACACCUGCUGCAAUGGGGCAGGCAUGGUAGGGAUAGACUAGGACUGUCCCCAGUAACAAGGACACGGGGCCCCUGUCCAGGUCCCCUUUUCUCUUGCUCUGAGCAGAUCCACACCCAUCUGUUCACUGAGGAGUCUGGAUAUGACCUCCAGACCCAUGCACACAGCUGUCUGCAGAUGCCCCCCGUCAGGUGCGCCCAUCCACGUGACCCAUAUCAACACCACCACGUUACUUUCCACUUUUUUAUCAUGGCAUCCUAGCGGGCAUGAAGUGGUAUCUCAUUGUGGUUUUGAUUUACAUCUCGCUAAUGACUAAUGACAUUGAGCAUCUUUUCAUGUGCUCAUUGACCAUUUGUAAAUCUUCUCUGGAGAAAUGUCAAUAUAGGUUUGAUAACUCCUUGCCCAUGGUUCUUUAUGUGGUGGCUGUCUCAAUCCUGCCAUGAUUAUUGUGGUCUUGUGGGAGCCUUUCUACAGAGUCCAGCAUCAGAGACUGGCCAUGGAGUUUUCUGGGGAUGUGCCCCAACACAGCCUCCUGCUUGUGUGCUGUGCUCCCUCCCCUUCCAGUGGCAGACAUCACCAAUCUAUCAUGGCACUUGAAAGCCCAGAGAUUUAUCCACCGGGCCCCACUGGAUGUGCAAUUGGGUGGAGUGUCUGCCCUUGAGGGGUUCAUUCAUGAGGGAAGGGAAAAGAAAUGAAUGGACCUAACUUUUCAGGUGCUGACAUAGAAGUCUAUGCUGGGGACAGUGGGUCCCAAGGAGAGUGGGGUUAGUUCUACCCAGAGGGGACACAGAGGCCAUAGCUGGGAUUUGGGGGCUAGUAAAUAACUCCCUUCCCAUGUUCAGAACCAAGUGAGAGAUGAGACACACAAGUCAAACACAGAUCAAACUGUCAGCUUUAUUACUGAAAAAGCUAAGCUGACCCACAACGAGAUAUCCCUUGACACUCACUAGGAUGGCCAUAAUCAGAAAGACAGGUGAUAACACAUGUUGACGAGGAUGUGCAGAAAUGGGAAUCCUUUAGCCCUGCAGGCGAGGAUGUAAAAUGAUGCGGCCACUGUGGAAAACAGUCUGGUGGUUUCUCAAACAAUUAAGCAUUACCAUAUGACCCAGCAAUUCCAUGCCCAGGUAUAUACCCAAGAGAAUUGACAACAUGUGCACAUAGAAACUUGUCCACGAAUGUUCAUAGCAGCAUUAUUCAUAACAGCCAAAGAGUGGAAGCAACCCAAAUGUCCAUCAACUGAUGAAUUAAUAAAUAAAAUGUGGUCUAGCCACACAAUGGAAUAUUAUUCAGCCAUGAAAAAGAAUGCAGUACUGAUGCAUGCCACAACAUGGAUGAAUCUUGGAAACACUAUGCAAGGUGAAAGAAGACAAUCACAAAAGGUCACAUAUUAUAUGAUUCCAUUUAUAUGAAAUAUCUAGAAUAGGCAAAUUCGUAGAAACAGAAAGUAGAUUAGUAGUUGCCUAGGGCUGAAGGGAGGGAGGGGUAAGGAGCGACUGCUAAAGGGUAUGAGGUUUCUUUAUGGGUGAUGAAGAUGUUCUAAAACUGAUUAUGGCAAAUAUACUAAUAACCAAUGAACUGUGUGCUUUAAAUGAGUGAAUUGUAUGAUAUGUGAAUUAUCUCUCAGUAAAGCUGUCAUUAUGAAAGCUAA